Molecule: non-coding RNA, 676 nt
Organism: Salvelinus sp. IW2-2015
Lineage: Eukaryota; Metazoa; Chordata; Actinopteri; Salmoniformes; Salmonidae
Source: RefSeq, a predicted model, not a curated record
AAUGAAAUCAAGCGCACCUAAUCUCAAUUGUGAAAUUGGACCAAUGGAAAUUAUGUUCAGUGGCUUGCAGAUGUACCUAAUUAACCAGCCAGAUUAGAAGGGUCUAGGAUUACUUUGUAAGGCACAGCUAAAAAGACAAUCAGAUACAAUAAGAGGAAUCUCCUGGUAAUGCUUUCCAGCUACAAUUAGUUCUGAAUACUGGCUGUGAUUUUUGAAGUGACUUUGAGAAUUUCUUGGAUUUGUUGCCUGCUAAUUGUAGGGAUAACCUGUUAUCCUCCACCUAAAGGUAAUUAUAGCUAUAUUCCCCAAAAUAAAUUAAAAGGAACUGGCCACAAUGAAGCGGAAGCAACCGGCUCCCGUGCCUCUGCAGGUGAAGCUACCGGUUCCCGUGCCUCAGAAGCAGCCACCCACAAUGCCUCAGCAAGCGCCACGACUGGCCCAAAUACCUUGGGUGAAGCAACCGGCCACAGUGCCGCGGAACCGACCACCUAUAAUGCCUCGGCAGCGGAAACAGCCACCCAUAAUGCCUCGGCAAGUGUGGCAACUGGCCCAAAUAGCURAGGUGAAGCAACUGGCCACAAUGCUUCAUCAAGUGCCACGACUGGCCCAAAUACCUUAGGUGAAGCAACCAGCUCCCGUGCCUCGGCAGCGGAAGCAACUGGCCACAGUGCCUAUU